CUUCAGGAGAUCAGUGAUGAAAAUUUUCUAAAAAGUCCUGAGAUAAUACUGAAACUGCUGAUCUGAGAACCAUCCUUGAAGAACUACUGUCCCAAGACAUCUGCAUGGAAGCCAGUAACUUCUCUCACUUGGUAGGUACCAUCCUGGAGACAAUCGAGAAAAAUCAAGGCUUAAAUCAUCUUGUCUGGUUUGUGGUUCGGAGGUGUAGUUCUAGAUGAGAAGGAUUGAGUAAAAAAGGAAAGGGGACCAUAUUUUAAAGGGGAGUAGCACUGUGUAAGGGUUAGGUUGUGAAAAAUCAACUUAGUUAAACAAUAGCUUUGUUACAGAAAAUGCAGAACAAAUGUCGAUGAAGUAGGAAUUUGGGCAGAUCUAUCUACAUAUGGUAGGGCUAAAAUUAUUUUCUCACUUCAUCAAGUUAGGUUAAUCAUAUGAGAUCUUGCUCCUCUGAAUUUACAGGCGAAGAUGCAUGGUGAAUGAAAUACUCAUCUUGUCAAUUUCCUGACUUUUUACAAGAGAGAGAAGCAGACUCGCAUUUUCUUUUUCAUUUCUAAGGCCUAAGAAAUCAUUGGUGUGACUUGAACCUACGUUUUCCUUUUCAAUCCACUUGCCACUUUCUGCAAUUGGGAAAUCCAUGAUUUAGAGCACAGAGUUCUAAGUUUCAGUAGAGGAAUGUGACAGAUAAUUCAUCUCCAAAGCUCCUUUCAGCUUCUCUAUUCAGGAACUUGAUAGAAUGGUAAUUAUGAAAUCCACCACCCACCUAACUGUCCAUCCAUCCAUCCAACAAUGAAAAAGGAAUCCUGACUUAAAGAAUCACAUAGGCAAUCCAGUGGGUAAAGACAAAAUUAAAUAGCAAAUUCAUUGCAACUAUGAUAGAUUUUUGAGAAAGAUAAACAAGCAAAAAUUUUAUAUGAGCUGUAACAAAGGCAACUAAUGCUGUUUGCAGUCUGGGGUUGGAGGCCAAUGAAGUACUCUUUGAAUAAAAACAUUCAAGUGGAUACCUAAGAGUUGAGAUGUGAGUGAGGCCAGGGAUGAUGUGGAAAGGUUGCAAAUGACAUCACCCAGGCUGAAUUGAAGCACUGUCAUCAGGACCCUGACAUAAUCAGAUUUUAAUUUUUAAGGGCUCUCUGUGACUUCUACAUGCAAAAUACACUGGAGGAGAAAGAGGCUACCUCCAGAGCAGGGAUAGAAUAUCAACUUAAUAUUUCCACCCUUCUUCCAUUCCUAAAGAAAAAUAACUUUGUAUGUUUUACUCUUUUCAUGACAUCAUACACCAUAAUUUCUGCUUUGAUCUCAUGACAUAUAUUACUUGGCUCUGGACUUUAUAAGAACAAGCUUCACUUAAAGCAAAAUCAAAUUGUACAGCAAAGAUUGGCAAAAGAGAAGUAAAUGCACAUCUCUAGUAAUUAGAGAAAUGGAAAUCAAAACUACUCUAAGAUUUCAUCUCACUGUAGUCAGAAUGGCAGUUAUCAAGAAUACAAACAACAAUAAAUGUUGGCGAGGAUGUGGGGAAAAAGGUACACUCAGACAUUGCUGGUGGGACUGCAAAUUGGUGCACACUCUAUGGAAAGCAAGCAGUAUGAGGAUUCCUUAGGAAACCUGGAAUGGAACCACUAUUUGUCUCAGCUAUCUGAUGACUCCUCGGUUUACAUCCAAACGACUUAAAAUCAGCAUACUACAAUGAUACAGCCACAUCAAUGUUUAUAGCAGCACAACUCACAAUAGCUAAACUAUGGAACCUACCUACAUGCCUUUCAACAGAUGAAUGGAUAAAGAAAAUGUGGUAUACAUACAAUAUGGAAUAUUAGCCUUCAAAAAGAAUGAAAUUAUGGCAUUUGUCAGUAAAAUGGAUGGAGCUGGAGAAUAUCAUGCUAAGCAAAAUAAGACAACACAAAAAAUGAAAGAAAAGACUGAAUGUUUUCUCUAAUAUGUGGAUGUUAAUCCCCAAUUAAGUGUGUGUGUGUUGGGGGUGGCGGUUACGGAAGAACAGAGGUACUUUGUAUUAGGCAGAGGAGAGUGAAGGGAGGGGAGGGCAUAUGGGUAUAUGGGAGUAGGAAGGAUGGUAGAAUGAAUUGGACAUUAAUACCAUACAUGCAUAUAUGACUAUACAACCAGUAUGCUCCUAUAUCACGUACAAUUAGAUGAAAGAGAAAUUAUACUCAUUUAUGUAUGGCAUAAUCAAAAUGCAUUCUACUGUCAUGUAUAACAAUUAGAACAAACUAAAAAGAGAGAAAUAAAUUCUCAAUCUUUGAGUUAUAGUUUGAGUUGCACCACCCCCAAGUUCUAACCCUCAGUAUCUCAGAAUGUGAAUGUAUCUGGAGACAGGACCUUUAAAGAGGAAAUUCAGUUCAAAUGAGGCCCCAUUCUGUGUGACUGUGCCCUUAGAAGAAGAGGAGGGCAGGACACAGAUAGGUACAGAAGAAAGACCAUAUGCAUGUGGGGAAAAGACAGCCAUUGGCAAAUCAGAGUAGGCUUUGUAAGAAGCAACCCUGAAGAUAUCUUGACCUCUGACAUCCAGCCUCCAGAAUCAUGAGA
RNAcentral lists this long non-coding RNA (2532 nucleotides) under Marmota monax (woodchuck). Lineage: Eukaryota; Metazoa; Chordata; Mammalia; Rodentia; Sciuridae. The record is from RNAcentral.